AUCUUUGCGCUUGGGGCAAUGACGCAGCUAAUGAGGUUCUAACCGAGGCGCGUCUAUUGCUGGUUGAAAACUAUUUCCAAACCCCCUCUUCGGCCUGGGCUUGACCCUGACCGUCGAGAAUUUCUGGAAGGGCUCCCUUCGGGGUAAAGCC
This 151-nucleotide small nuclear RNA is filed under the name Manihot esculenta (cassava). Its description in RNAcentral is "U4 spliceosomal RNA". It matches the Rfam family "U4 spliceosomal RNA". Rfam says of the family: U4 small nuclear RNA (U4 snRNA) is a component of the major U2-dependent spliceosome. The structure of U4 snRNA from yeast and human has been reported. The record is from Rfam by way of RNAcentral. Lineage: Eukaryota; Viridiplantae; Streptophyta; Magnoliopsida; Malpighiales; Euphorbiaceae.